RNAcentral lists this ribosomal RNA (521 nucleotides) under uncultured beta proteobacterium. Its description in RNAcentral is "bacterial SSU rRNA". It matches the Rfam family "Bacterial small subunit ribosomal RNA", at positions 357 to 871 of the family's 1533-position model. Lineage: Bacteria; Pseudomonadati; Pseudomonadota; Betaproteobacteria. The record is from RNAcentral.
GGGAAUUUUGGACAAUGGGCGCAAGCCUGAUCCAGCAAUGCCGCGUGCAGGAUGAAGGCCUUCGGGUUGUAAACUGCUUUUGUACGGAACGAAAAGGUGCUCUCUAAUACAGGGCGCUCAUGACGGUACCGUAAGAAUAAGCACCGGCUAACUACGUGCCAGCAGCCGCGGUAAUACGUAGGGUGCAAGCGUUAAUCGGAAUUACUGGGCGUAAAGCGUGCGCAGGCGGUUUUGUAAGACAGUGGUGAAAUCCCCGGGCUCAACCUGGGAACUGCCAUUGUGACUGCAAGGCUGGAGUGCGGCAGAGGGGGAUGGAAUUCCGCGUGUAGCAGUGAAAUGCGUAGAUAUGCGGAGGAACACCGAUGGCGAAGGCAAUCCCCUGGGCCUGCACUGACGCUCAUGCACGAAAGCGUGGGGAGCAAACAGGAUUAGAUACCCUGGUAGUCCACGCCCUAAACGAUGUCAACUGGUUGUUGGGGAUUUAUUUCUUCAGUAACGAAGCUAACGCGUGAAGUUGACCG